UGAUUAGUUUCAGUUGGUCUGGGC
RNAcentral lists this microRNA (24 nucleotides) under Brachypodium distachyon (stiff brome). RNAcentral's name for it is "bdi-miR7727-5p". The record is from miRBase by way of RNAcentral. Lineage: Eukaryota; Viridiplantae; Streptophyta; Magnoliopsida; Poales; Poaceae.